RNAcentral lists this ribosomal RNA (434 nucleotides) under uncultured archaeon. Its description in RNAcentral is "bacterial SSU rRNA". It matches the Rfam family "Archaeal small subunit ribosomal RNA", at positions 19 to 458 of the family's 1478-position model. The record is from RNAcentral.
GGACCUGACUGCUAUCGGAUUGAUANUAAGCCAUGCGAGUCAUUGUAGCAAUACAAGGCAUACGGCUCAGUAACGCGUAGUCAACCUAACCUAUGGACGGGAAUAACCUCGGGAAACUGAGAAUAAUGCCCGAUAGAACAUUAUGCCUGGAAUGGUUUAUGUUCCAAAUGAUUUAUCGCCGUAGGAUGGGACUGCGGCCUAUCAGUUUGUUGGUGAGGUAAUGGCCCACCAAGACUAUUACAGGUACGGGCUCUGAGAGGAGUAGCCCGGAGAUGGGUACUGAGACACGGACCCAGGCCCUAUGGGGCGCAGCAGGCGAGAAAACUUUGCAAUGUGCGAAAGCACGACAAGGUUAAUCCGAGUGGUUUCUGCUAAAGAAACCUUUUGUCAGUCCUAGAAACACUGAUGAAUAAGGGGUGGGCAAGUUCUGGUGU